GAGGGUGUAGCUCAGGGACAGAGCGAGUGCCUAGCACGCACAAGGUCCUGGGUUCAAUCCCCAGUACCUCCA
This is a transfer RNA of Camelus ferus (Wild Bactrian camel), 72 nucleotides long. It matches the Rfam family "tRNA". Rfam says of the family: Transfer RNA (tRNA) molecules are approximately 80 nucleotides in length. Their secondary structure includes four short double-helical elements and three loops (D, anti-codon, and T loops). The record is from Rfam. Lineage: Eukaryota; Metazoa; Chordata; Mammalia; Artiodactyla; Camelidae.